AGCGAACGCUGGCGGCAGGCCUAACACAUGCAAGUCGAACGAACUCUUCGGAGUUAAUGGCGGACGGGUGAGUAACACGUGGGAACGUGCCUUUAGGUUCGGAAUAACUCAGGGAAACUUGUGCUAAUACCGAAUGUGCCCUUCGGGGGAAAGAUUUAUCGCCUUUGGAGCGGCCCGCGUCUGAUUAGCUAGUUGGUGGGGUAAAGGCUCACCAAGGCGAAGAUCAGUAGCUGGUCUGAGAGGAUGAUCAGGCACAUUGGGACUGAGACACGGCCCAAACGCCUACGGGCGGCGUCAGUGGGGGAGCUUGCGCAAUGGGCGAAGGCCUGACGCAGCCAUGCCGCGUGAAUGAUGAAGGUCUUAGGAUUGUAAAAUUCUUUCACCGGGGACGAUAAUGACGGUACCCGGAGAAGAAGCCCCGGCUAACUUCGUGCCAGCCGCCGCAGUAA
This 449-nucleotide ribosomal RNA is filed under the name uncultured bacterium. RNAcentral describes it as "partial 16S ribosomal RNA". It matches the Rfam family "Bacterial small subunit ribosomal RNA", at positions 29 to 523 of the family's 1533-position model. The record is from RNAcentral.